This 497-nucleotide ribosomal RNA is filed under the name uncultured bacterium. RNAcentral's name for it is "partial 16S ribosomal RNA". It matches the Rfam family "Bacterial small subunit ribosomal RNA", at positions 28 to 507 of the family's 1533-position model. The record is from RNAcentral.
GAUGAACGCUGGCGGCGUGCCUAAUACAUGCAAGUCGAGCGAACAGACCAGGAGCUGGCGCCUCUGACGUUAUCGGCGGACGGGAGAUUAACACGGGGUUAACCUAACUAUAAGACUGGGAUAACAUCGGGAAACCGUAUCUAAUACCGGAAGAUAUAUUGAACCGCAUGGGUCAAGAGUGAAAGACGGUUUUGCUGUCGCUAAAAGAUGGAUCCGCGCCGGAUUAACUAGUUGGUAAGGUCACGGAUUACCAAGGCAAGGAUGCGUAGCCGACCUGAGAGGGUGGUCGGCCACCCUGGAACUGAGACACGGUCCAGACUCCUACGGUAGGAAGCAGUAGGGAAUCUUCCGCGAUGGGCGAGAGCCUAACGGAGCACCGCCGCGUGAGUGAUGAAGGUCUUCGGCUCGUAAAACGCUGUUAUUCGUGAAGAACAAAUGUGUAAGUAACUAUGCACGUCUUGACGGUACCUGGUCAGAAAGCCCCGGCUAACUCCGUG